RNAcentral lists this ribosomal RNA (394 nucleotides) under uncultured bacterium. RNAcentral describes it as "bacterial SSU rRNA". It matches the Rfam family "Bacterial small subunit ribosomal RNA", at positions 28 to 422 of the family's 1533-position model. The record is from RNAcentral.
GACGAACGCUGGCGGCGUGCUUAACACAUGCAAGUCGAGCGGUAAGGCCCUUUCGGGGGGUACACGAGCGGCGAACGGGUGAGUAACACGUGGGUGACCUGCCCUCAGCUCCGGGAUAAGCCUGGGAAACCGGGUCUAAUACUGGAUAUGACUCCAUGACGCAUGUUGUGGGGUGGAAAGCCUUGUGCGGCUGAGGAUGGGCCCGCGGCCUAUCAGCUUGUUGGUGGGGUGAUGGCCUACCAAGGCGACGACGGGUAGCCGGCCUGAGAGGGCGACCGGCCACACUGGGACUGAGACACGGCCCAGACUCCUACGGGAGGCAGCAGUGGGGAAUCUUGCGCAAUGGGCGAAAGCCUGACGCAGCGACGCCGCGUGAGGGAUGACGGCCUGGUGU